UAGUGUAGUGGUCAGCACGCUCGACGCGUAUUCGAGAGGUCCGUGGUUCGAGUCCCGG
This 58-nucleotide transfer RNA is filed under the name Stegodyphus mimosarum. The record is from Rfam by way of RNAcentral. Lineage: Eukaryota; Metazoa; Arthropoda; Arachnida; Araneae; Eresidae.